GACGAACGCUGGCGGCGUGCUUAACACAUGCAAGUCGAACGGUGAAGCUCCAGCUUGCUGGAGUGGAUCAGUGGCGAACGGGUGAGUAACACGUGAGCAACCUGCCCCUACCUGGGGAUAAGCCCUUGGAAAGGCCGCCUAUAAUGGGAGAGAAGAUGGUGCGCCAGGGGAAUUUUUGGUAAGUUUCUGCGUUGGGGGCUGGCCUGGCGGCUUACCCGCUGGUUGGUGAGGUAAUGGCUAACCAGGGCGACGACGGGUAGCCGGCCUGGGAGGGCGGCCGGCCACACUGGGACUGAGACACGGCCCAGACUCCUACGGGCGGCAGCAGUGGGGAAUAUUGCACAAUGGGCGCAAGCCUGAUGCAGCGACGCCGCGUGAGGGAUGACGGCCUUCGGGUUGUAAACCUCUUUCAGCAGGGAAGAAGCGAAAGUGACGGUACCUGCAGAAGAAGCACCGGCUAACUACGUG
This 468-nucleotide ribosomal RNA is filed under the name uncultured bacterium. RNAcentral's name for it is "partial 16S ribosomal RNA". It matches the Rfam family "Bacterial small subunit ribosomal RNA", at positions 28 to 507 of the family's 1533-position model. The record is from RNAcentral.